CGGACCUGCCGUCGAGGCAGUUCACCACUGCGUUCACCACUCAUUCAGUCCUUACGAAAACCUUGAGAGGAGGCACUUCUCCCCGAGACACAGGGAGAGGAACUGAGGCUAGGAGAGCUUCUGUCAUUCCUGUAAGGCCAUUGUAUUGGUUACUAAGUGACUCCUUUCUGUUUCAAAACCAGUCUUUGCUGUGAUGCUGAGGCUGGGACUCUGCAGACCACAUUUCUGCUCCGUCACUGGCUCUUGUUUGGCGUGCCUGCAGGAGACCAUCGGCUGGGCAAGGGAGAACGGAGCGCUGCUCCUGUUUGCUUCCUGGUAAGGUAACCAUCUAGAGGUGAGCUAUCCAGGUCAUUGCCUUCAAGAGACUCACCUCCCAGGGAAGAGACAAUGAGCCAAAAAAUAAGCAACGAAACCACAGAUACAUAAAGGAUGACAGAAGUCCAUCAGAAAGCAGCUUCCUGCCUAGGCUGUGAGCGAUCCAGGUCCAAGGAAACCCAGAGGAGUUCUCAGACAUGUAUUGGCAAAAAUACUAAAAGGCUGAAGAUGAAAUUAAUUAGAAGGCUAGACAAAGGAAAAGAAGAGGAGACUCCAACAAGACGAUCAAAGAUAAAGUAAACCGUAAACAGAAUCAUUCUGGGCAGUGCUGUUUGGAGACCACCUCUAGAAUACAGUUACGAACCUGCAGAAAAGCCUUCUGGAAGAGGCCAGCUCUCUGUCACUUAGGACAGUUGGGUCACUAGGACUUGCUAGCAGUGCUUAUCUGCUGCUCUGGCUGCAGAGCGAGGGAGAGAUAUCUGCCCAUACCCACCUCCGUCGGGUAGUCAUUAGAAUAAGAGACUCCCAGCAAGAGAGGAACCCGGUCGGUACAUGCCAUCAGAACCACCUCCGGAUUCAAGGCUCCUGCGCCAGUUGCAAAUUAAAUCUUUUAUUGUAAACAUCUCUGUAAAUAAAUCAACAGACAAAUGCUGGUCCUGAGAACA
RNAcentral lists this long non-coding RNA (980 nucleotides) under Ursus maritimus (polar bear). RNAcentral describes it as "lncRNA (ENSUMAG00000014061.1)". Lineage: Eukaryota; Metazoa; Chordata; Mammalia; Carnivora; Ursidae. The record is from RNAcentral.